RNAcentral lists this ribosomal RNA (607 nucleotides) under uncultured Acidobacteriota bacterium. Its description in RNAcentral is "bacterial SSU rRNA". It matches the Rfam family "Bacterial small subunit ribosomal RNA", at positions 290 to 915 of the family's 1533-position model. The record is from RNAcentral. Lineage: Bacteria; Pseudomonadati; Acidobacteriota.
GCCCAGUGCGCAAGAUUCCCCUACUGCUGCCUCCCGUAGGAGUACUCCUACGGGAGGCAGCAGUGGGGAAUAUUGGACAAUGGGGGCAACCCUGAUCCAGCAAUGCCGCGUGAGUGAUGAAGGCCUUAGGGUUGUAAAGCUCUUUCGCCCGCGACGAUGAUGACGGUAGCGGGAGAAUAAGCCCCGGCUAACUUCGUGCCAGCAGCCGCGGUAAUACGAAGGGGGCUAGCGUUGUUCGGAAUUACUGGGCGUAAAGGGCGCGUAGACGGUUAUGUAAGUCGGGUGUGAAAGCCCCGGGCUCAACCUGGGAAUUGCAUUCGAGACUGCAUAGCUAGGGUGCGGAAGAGGGAAGCGGAAUUUCCGGUGUAGCGGUGAAAUGCGUAGAUAUCGGGAGGAACACCUGUGGCGAAAGCGGCUCACUGGACCAUUACUGACGCUGAGGCUCGAAAGCUAGGGGAGCAAACAGGAUUAGAUACCCUGGUAGUCCUAGCCCUAAACGAUGAUUGCUUGGUGUGGUGGGUACCCAAUCCCACUGUGCCGCAGCUAACGCAUUAAGCAUUCCGCCUGGGGAGUACGGUCGCAAGGCUGAAACUUAAAGGAAUUGACG